UACGAAGGGGGCUAGCGUUGCUCGGAAUCACUGGGCGUAAAGGGUGCGUAGGCGGGUCUUUAAGUCAGGGGUGAAAUCCUGGAGCUCAACUCCAGAACUGCCUUUGAUACUGAAGAUCUUGAGUUCGGGAGAGGUGAGUGGAACUGCGAGUGUAGAGGCGAAAUUCGUAGAUAUUCGCAAGAACACCAGUGGCGAAGGCGGCUCACUGGCCCGAUACUGACGCUGAGGCACGAAAGCGUGGGGAGCAAACAGG
Molecule: ribosomal RNA, 253 nt
Filed under: uncultured bacterium
Lineage: Bacteria
Description: partial 16S ribosomal RNA
Rfam family: Bacterial small subunit ribosomal RNA
Source: RNAcentral